AUGCGGAUCCGCAGGUCCGCCUCCCGCCUGCUGGGCGGCGCAGCCGCUGCCUUCGCCCCCGCCCCGGCCCCCUCUGACCGGCCUCGAUUCGAGCUGUUCCCGCCGCCGCCGUCGCCGCCGGCGACGGACCAAGCCCACGAAUCCGGCGCCGGGUUGGUGGCGCCCGAGGCCUCCUCCUGCGGGCAGCCUUGCUGCGAGCUCAGCAGGUCGCCGUGGGAACUCAUGGCCGAGCUCGACCUCUCGGACCCCGAGGUGGAGGAAUGCUUCGAGAAGACUUACUUCAGAACUACACGACGAGCUGGUUGGCUCUUCCCAUCCAGUAUCAGCAUGCCCAACGGCUCCAUCAAGGAGAAGACGACUGUAGAUAUGAUCGAUGGGGCCACCAACAUGGCUGCGAAAAUGAAGGAGGGGAAGAAGAAUGAGAGCAAGUCAAAGACGAAUAAGGGGAUCAAAGUGAAGAAGGGAGUGUGGACAUGCAAGAAGAGGGACGGCAAGAAGCCACAAAAGAAGAGGCCCGUCGUUGACAUGGGCGAAGCGUUCUACUACUACGACGGCUUUGGCCCAUCACGCAGCUCCAAGAGGCAUUGUAGAUCAAGCAGUGGUAGCAGUGUGCUGGAAGAACCUCCACUACCCAUUGAACAACAGAAAGAUGAGGCAUGCCCCCAAACACAAUUUGAUUUUAGUGCAAGCCAAGCUAAUGUCACCGACCAUCCGGCUGUGCCGACAUCAACACAUGUCGAGAAGCCUAGGCUCAAUUUGAGCAAUGCCAACAUUAUCAGCUACGAUAAGGAGAGCAGCAAUGACGACGCACUUGGUUGCAAUGGCAAACAAAUGUGCGACAUUAUGAUGAUGAACAACCCGUUCAAGAAGAGGUGGAGGAAGCCUGUUAAAGCCCGAUCGCUCAAGUCGCUAAUGUAA
This 918-nucleotide ribosomal RNA is filed under the name Triticum aestivum (bread wheat). RNAcentral's name for it is "partial small subunit ribosomal RNA". The record is from RNAcentral. Lineage: Eukaryota; Viridiplantae; Streptophyta; Magnoliopsida; Poales; Poaceae.